RNAcentral lists this ribosomal RNA (253 nucleotides) under uncultured bacterium. RNAcentral describes it as "partial 16S ribosomal RNA". It matches the Rfam family "Bacterial small subunit ribosomal RNA", at positions 524 to 776 of the family's 1533-position model. The record is from RNAcentral.
UACGGAGGGGGCUAGCGUUGUUCGGAAUUACUGGGCGUAAAGCGUGCGCAGGCGGCUUUGCAAGACAGAUGUGAAAUCCCCGGGCUUAACCUGGGAACUGCAUUUGUGACUGCAGGGCUGGAGUGCGGCAGAGGGGGAUGGAAUUCCGCGUGUAGCAGUGAAAUGCGUAGAUAUGCGGAGGAACACCGAUGGCGAAGGCAAUCCCCUGGGCCUGCACUGACGCUCAUGCACGAAAGCGUGGGGAGCAAACAGG